RNAcentral lists this long non-coding RNA (206 nucleotides) under Columba livia (rock pigeon). RNAcentral describes it as "partial uncharacterized LOC102085048". The record is from RNAcentral. Lineage: Eukaryota; Metazoa; Chordata; Aves; Columbiformes; Columbidae.
GGGCCGUCUUUGCCUAUGAGAAGCACCAUGACCUCAAGCUCCUGGACUCUGGAGCCGGGGGUCCAGAUGAGCUUGCCGAAAAGUUCUCCAGCACCAGCAUCAUGUACGGGCUGUGCCGCAUCCAAGACCCCGGCACUGGCGCUCACCGCAUCGUCCUCAUCAACUGGGUCGGUGAGAAGGCACCAGAGUCCCAACGAGAGGCGUGU